This 117-nucleotide ribosomal RNA is filed under the name Gammaproteobacteria bacterium. RNAcentral describes it as "partial 16S ribosomal RNA". It matches the Rfam family "Bacterial small subunit ribosomal RNA", at positions 1 to 114 of the family's 1533-position model. Lineage: Bacteria; Pseudomonadati; Pseudomonadota; Gammaproteobacteria. The record is from RNAcentral.
AAAUUGAAGAGUUUGAUCAUGGCUCAGAUUGAACGUUGGCGGCAGGCCUUAGACAUGCAAGUCGAACGGUAACAGCAGAGCUUGCUCUGGCUGACGAGUGGCGGACGGGUGAGUAAC